This 1872-nucleotide unclassified non-coding RNA is filed under the name uncultured fungus. RNAcentral describes it as "sequence contains 18S rRNA gene, ITS1, 5.8S rRNA gene, ITS2, 28S rRNA gene". The stretch from base 817 to 1872 matches the Rfam family "Eukaryotic large subunit ribosomal RNA", at positions 1 to 961 of the family's 3401-position model. Lineage: Eukaryota; Fungi. The record is from RNAcentral.
GGAAGGAUCAUUAGUGAAAAGAUUAAUUCUUUACACAUUAAACUCUAACGUGAACCUUUACACCAGGCAUGUUCCAGAGAUAAGUCUCCUUGCAAAAGGAAGGUAUUUCUGGCCCCUAUCUGCAGAGUCGCACAUGUUCAUUGACCCCCAUUGCCUAAUUUGAAGCAUUAGUGAAGCCGUGGCUUUGGGACCUUGAAAUGUGUUUAAGCUCUUAGGUUUGGGUAUCCUGACGCCGUAAGUUGGAUUGAGAACCUCGGUUCUCUUCAAGUCCUUCUUUACUUUCAGGUUAGGUGUGCUGUAUUGCUAUAUAAACUUGUGAGUGAAGCUUAACCGUAUUUUUGAUUGCCUGAUAUACAACAUUAGUAAUAAUGAAAUACAACCUUUAACAAUGGAUCUCUUGGCUCCUGCAACGAUGAAGAACGCAGCGAACUGCGAUACGUAGUGUGAAUCGCAUAUGUCCGUGAAUCAUCGAAUCUUUGAACGCAAAAUGCACCUCUUGGUUCUCCGAGAGGUAUGUCUGUUUGAGUAUCAUUUACACCAUCUUCAAACUGUGGUUUGGAGGAGUUGACUGUUCUUGAUCUGUCCGUGAAGCCGUGAAGCAUUACGAUCAAGUCAGUUUAAAUGCAAUGUGGGGAAUUUCGAUUCUUUCAUAUUAGCUAUGGAGAGAUGAGAUUUCACUACUGAAUCACACUAGUUAGUGUUGGUACUUUAGUAAUUUCUCGUUAAGUCUUUCCACUUAGCGCAAUCAUGCAAUGGUGUGCUUAUUCAUGAAGAUUUAUUUCUGAUUGAAUGCGCCCGUUACAACUACUUUGAUUGUGAUCUCAAAUCAGACAAGACUACCCGCUGAACUUAAGCAUAUCAGUAAGCGGAGGAAAAGAAACUAACAAGGAUUCCCUUAGUAACGGCGAGUGAAGUGGGAAGAGCUCAAAUUUGAAAUCUGGUAGGCUUUAGUCUGCCCGAAUUGUAAUUUGAAGAGGCGUUUUCUGAUACGACCCAGGCAUAAGUUCCUUGGAAUAGGACAUCAGAGAGGGUGAGAAUCCCGUUCAUGGUCUGUGGUUUAGUGUCUCUGUGAUACGUACUCUAAGAGUCGGAUUGUUUGGGAAUGCAGUCCAAAAUGGGUGGUAAAUUUCAUCUAAGGCUAAAUACCGGCAGGAGACCGAUAGCGAACAAGUACCGUGAGGGAAAGAUGAAAAGCACUUUGAAAAGAGAGUCAAAUAGUACGUGAAAUUGUUAAAGGGGAAACGAUUGAGACCAGUGUUGAUUGCUAGGAAUCAGCCAGUAGUUGCCGCAAGGUUGCUAUUGGUGCACUUUCUAGCGUCAGGUCAACAUCAGUUUGACUGAUCGGAAAAGAACUAGAGGAAGGUAGCAUGAUCUUCGGAUUGUGUGUUAUAGCCUCUGGUGGAUACGAUCGGUUGGACUGAGGAAUGCAGUGCUCUCUGGCCUAAGCUAGGUAUGUUGUGGUGGGCUUUGUUGUUCGAGUAAUCGUCUGCAGAGUCUAGCCUAUGCAUAUUUGGUGGACGGACUCUAGCGCUGAGGAUGUUGGCAAAAUGGUCUUAAACGACCCGUCUUGAAACACGGACCAAGGAGUCUAACAGAUAUGCGAGUAUUUGAGUGGCAAACUCAAGUGCGGAAUGAAAGUGAAUAAUAGAUGGGAUCCGCAAGGUGCACCAUCGACCGAUCUGGAUAUUUUUUGAUAGAUUUGAGUAAGAGCAUAUCUGCUAGGACCCGAAAGAUGGUGAACUAUGCCUGAGUAGGGCGAAGCCAGAGGAAACUCUGGUGGAGGCUCGUAGCGAUUCUGACGUGCAAAUCGAUCGUCAAACUUGGGUAUAGGGGCGAAAGACUAAUCGAACCAUUCUAAUGGCUGGUUCCCUC